This 420-nucleotide ribosomal RNA is filed under the name uncultured bacterium. RNAcentral describes it as "bacterial SSU rRNA". It matches the Rfam family "Bacterial small subunit ribosomal RNA", at positions 357 to 775 of the family's 1533-position model. The record is from RNAcentral.
GGGAAUAUUGGGCAAUGGACGAGAGUCUGACCCAGCCAUGCCGCGUGCAGGAAGACGGCCUAUUGGGUUGUAAACUGCUUUUAUAAGGGAAGAAAAGGCCCAUGCGUGGGACAUUGCCGGUACCGUAUGAAUAAGCACCGGCUAACUCCGUGCCAGCAGCCGCGGUAAUACGGAGGGUGCAAGCGUUGUCCGGAUUUAUUGGGUUUAAAGGGUGCGUAGGCGGCUGAUUAAGUCAGCGGUGAAAGACUCCGGCUCAACCGGAGCAGUGCCGUUGAUACUGGUUGGCUUGAGUGCUGCAGGGGUACAUGGAAUUGAUGGUGUAGCGGUGAAAUGCAUAGAUACCAUCAGGAACACCGAUAGCGAAGGCAUUGUACUGGGCAGCAACUGACGCUGAUGCACGAAAGCGUGGGGAGCGAACAG